RNAcentral lists this long non-coding RNA (1092 nucleotides) under Gallus gallus (chicken). RNAcentral's name for it is "lncRNA (ENSGALG00010009656.1)". The record is from RNAcentral. Lineage: Eukaryota; Metazoa; Chordata; Aves; Galliformes; Phasianidae.
GGUAAAUAUAUCACACUUGGAUUCCUUUUCACAUGAACCUUGCUGACAUUUUCUCCCUUUUGUAUCUUAUACAUCUGACCAGAAAAUAAUAAAUUAUUUGUAAUUUAUAACUUCAUUUAACAGUAGUUCAUAGUUUAAUGUGCUGGAAUGUAACACGUGAUGAUUGGGCAGAGUCCAGCACAAAAAUAAUUUGGUGGUCUUUUUUCAGAAUUUUUUAAUAGUCCACAAACCCCCAGGGAAGCGGGACAUCUGUUGGAGUACUCUUUCAGUAGACAUCUCAAGUGGCCAGCUAACCUGCUGGGGAAUGGAUCAUCCUGCAGAGGGUGAAUCAUGAGCUCACAGAUGAAAGUCACCCAAGAUGACAUCCCAGAUACUAUUGGCAAACAUCAUACAUGCCGAAAUCAAAGAUGAAGCUGUCAAACAGUAAGAGUGGAUGCUGCAGGGAUAGACAGCAACAUCAUGUUAAAGAAAACGCUCUCAGAAGCCUUCAGGGGAAGUCACUGCACAAAGUGGAAAGUGUGUUUAAAAAAGAGAGAGAAAAAUUAAAGUAUAUAAGCCAACUCAAGGUAUCUUGAGGUACCAGUAGUGUGUUGUAGAACGUUCGACUCCUGGGAUGCAUAUGUGGAAUGGAAGAUUUGGACUUUAUCUGGAUGUUCUACUGGCUAUUCAGAAGAUGGCCCUGAGAGAGGAGUUGACUCUACUUCUCUUCUGAAGUUGGGUUAUUGCAAAAAGUAUCAUUUCAGGCAAGCUCUGUAAGCCCAUGUCUGAGUCACUGAGAUGUGCUUUGCAAUGGAGGAUUAAGGGAGUUUGCACAUGGAAGCAUGACUGUGCUUGCAGUCCCACAGUAGAAAAGGCAACCAGGAGGGGGGAAUAAUCAGUAACAAGGAAAGAACUGCCUGGGAUGUCCGGGCUGGCCACCAGUGGAAAAAAAAGAAAGAAUCAGAUGAGAACUGAGUGAAGUAUAAGAAACCAAGCACAGAUAUUGCCUGGAUAUUUUUGUGCCUGAAGUUGUUCCUUGCCACCUGUUACCUGAUUCUUCAAUUGCACCAACUUUCUCUUCCAUGACAGUGGUUGGCAUCCUGCUAAGGACAA